CACAUAUAGUCCAGUUAAAGGUGGAGUUGUGCUUAUUGAGAAUAAUUCACCCUGUAAAAUAAUAAGUAUUGGUAUCAUUCUGAUCAGGAUGCACAACGGGAUUAUCAAAACACUAUCAAAUGUCAAUCAUGUGCCUGAUUUAAAGAAAAGCCUCACCUCCUUGGGUAUUUUAGACUUGCAUAGUUGUAGGAUCGUCAUCGAGUCAAGCGACAUUAAGGAAUCUUGUGAAGCUCUCGUUUUGAUGAAAUGGCAGAAAAUUGACAGUCUAUAUAUUCUAUAGGGUUCAAUAGUGACUAGUGUAGCAGCAAUUACGGAGGUGGAGCUAAGAUAGUCGCGAUGAGGGACGUCGCAACGAAUUUUAUCUAUUACGGAUUUGGAGUCAACUUAUUUGUGGCAUAUGCAACUUGGUCAUAUAAGUGAGAAAGGUAUGACCGUUUUAAAUGAGAGAGGUUUUCUUUCGGGAGUAAGAGUUGGAAAGUUAUAAUUUUGCAUUUAUAGGAAGCAAACAUGAGUCAACUUAGUUCUGUAGAGUAUAGGACAAAGGCCACACUUGACUACAUUCACUCCGAUUUAUAGGGUCUAGCUCAAGUCACCUCUAAAAGAGAUAGCAGAUAUCUCCUAACCUUUAUUGAUGACCAUUCUAGGAAGGUUUGGGUCUAUUUCAUGAAGCACAACAAUAAAGUUUUUGGGAUUUUUAAAUAGUGGAAAACUUUACUGGAGAAAUGGAAUAUGAAGUUUUUAAAGCAGUUAAGGACGGGUAAUGGCCUCGACUUUUACGCACCUCAGGUUAAAGACUAUUGCAAGUAGGAAGGAAUUGAUUGACAUAGCACAAUUGUCGGUACCCCACAAUAGAAUGGUGUUGAAAAAAGGAUUAACAGAACUCUACUUGAGAGAGCUCAGUGUAUGCUUUUUAAUGCAAGUUGAGGAUAGGGGUGAGCAUUCGAUCGAAUCGAAUCGAAUCGAAUCAAAAAUUUUCGAGUUAAUCGAGUUUUCGAAUCUCAUUUUAUCAUCCUAACUUUAUUUGAAGUUUUCUCGAAUCGAAUCGACUGAGAUGGAAUUCGAAUCGAAUCGAAUCGAACAUAUUUGUUCGAGUUAAAUUUUAAAAAAUAAUUUUGAGUCCUUGUAACCAUUGUCACCCAUCGUAAUAAAAUUUGUCCACCUUAAUCAAAUUUUUUAUUAACUUUCAUCACCUCAUAAUUUAUUUAUUAUUUUUUAUAUAUUGGUUAGCUUCUUUGCUUGCUUAGUUGUUUCAAUUAUCUUCAGAUUCUUGUCACUAUGUAUUUUGGAAUUAAAAAAUAUAUUAAAUGUAUAAAUAUGAUUUUUUAAUAAAAGUUAUUUUAAAAAUAAAAUGUGAAAUCGAUACCAAUAUAAAAUUUUAACACGAAUAUUUUAUGGCAUAAUUAAUAAUUCAAUUUUAAUAUAAAUAUUCAAUAUGACUAAACAAUUCAAUAAUAUAAAUAAUAUAAAAUAUGAAAUUUAAUUUAAUAAUAUAAAUAAUAGAUAUAAAUAAAAUUAUUACUAUUUAUGUUUAGUGAUUUUUUUUUGGAUAAUUUUGAUUUUUUAUUUAAGAGUAAAGGGUGAUAAGUAAAAGUUUUAGGGGAAAAUAAAAAGUUUUGAGGAAUAGAAGUUUGAGGGAAAGUAAAUAGGGGAGUAAAAUUUUGGAGGGAAAGUAUUAAAAAAAAUUGGAGUGAGGAUUUGGGGUAGAUGGGAGGUGGGAUGGGAAGGGAAUAAAAGUUUUAGGGGAAAAAUGGGAGGGAGUAAAAAUUUUAGGGGAAAAUAAAAAGUUUUGAGGGUUUUUGGGAGUAAAAUUUUGAGAAAAAGUAAAUAGAAGAGUAAAAUUUUGGUCGGAAAUGGAUUUUGGGUAGAUUGGGGGGUUGGGAGGGGAGGGGAGUAAAAGUUUUGGGGAGAAAGUGGAAAUGAGUAAAAGUUUUGAGGGAAAAGUAAAAAAAGUCUGGGAGUUUAGAGUAAAAAUGUAAAAUAUUAUAGUUUGAUAUUCGAAUUAUUCGAGUUAUUCGAAUUCGAAAACUCAACUCGAUUCGAACUCGAAAUUUGAAAAAAAAAUUCGAGUUGAUUCGAAUAACUCGAUUAACUCGAAAUUUAAAUUUUUUUUCGAUUUUUUCGAGUCAAAUCAAGUUUUGCUCACCCCUAGUUGAGGAAAGUAGUUUUAACGUUUUUUAAUGGUGUCGAACAUUUAUUCCUUCAAUUUAGCUGCUUGGUGUCUCUUAUUACACAAGACUUACAAAUUUAUCAUACAACUUCUCUUUUCUCGGUAUACACAUAAAUAGUUAAAGUUAGUCUCAAUUUCACUAUCUCACCAACCAAAUGUUUAAUCAUUUCCGGAUCAAUCAUUUAUUCAAUAAUUUCACAUUUAGAACAUACCACUUUAUAUCUAAUUUAUGACAAAACAUAUCCAUUAACAUAUCUUGUUAUUACAAUUUAUGACUCAGAUAUUCAAGAUUCCAACUAACCACACCACACGUUUUGCACUAAUUAUGCAUCCAACCUAACACACUAAACAUAUAAGGGACCAAGGUAUUCCAACGUGCUAUGCCAUAACACAUCAUAUUGUCAUUCAAAAGCACACAUACUAAUCCCUAUGGUAUGCUAAUUGCAUCCUAACUAUUCUACUGCUUACAUACUCCCCACCACUUUCCCUUUUCUUAACACCAAAAUAUGAACAUAAAUAUCAAUAUAUAAGCUCAAAAAGCUUUCUCAUCCAAAUAACCUUAAGAUAUCACUUAAGAGAUAUUGAAAAUAUCAUUACUAACCUACUUUGAAGCUUUUUCUCUCUAGUUUAACUUUCUCUCACUGAACCCAUGAAACCGUAGGUUUGAAUGAAAGAGAUGGUGAUGAGAAUGAGUUUAGAAAUUGGUUUGCUACUUGACUUUUUAGAGAAAUCAAAGUUUGGAGAUUGAAAUUUGGGUUGGAUUUGAAGAGAAAUGAGAAAAAUGGAAAAGAGCAUAUUCUUUCCCUUAGAGAAGGGAGGGUUUGCUAAAAUGGGUGGAAGACAACUUUUUGUAAUCUUUCCUCCCUUAUUUUAUUU
RNAcentral lists this long non-coding RNA (3043 nucleotides) under Gossypium barbadense (sea-island cotton). RNAcentral's name for it is "long non-coding RNA (GBAR_LNC022407)". Lineage: Eukaryota; Viridiplantae; Streptophyta; Magnoliopsida; Malvales; Malvaceae. The record is from RNAcentral.